UUUAUUGAUCACUCAGGAAUACGCCCUCAGUGAAAUUGAGGUUCCAGCAGCAUUGUAUAGCAGCAAACAGGGUAAGAAGCACACAGUGUAUCAAAAGUGAAAGUAUAAAAACAAUUUGCGAAUGUAAAUACACAAAUGUAAAUA
Thalassophryne amazonica is the source of this 144-nucleotide long non-coding RNA. RefSeq lists it as uncharacterized. The record is from RefSeq and is a predicted model, not a curated record. Lineage: Eukaryota; Metazoa; Chordata; Actinopteri; Batrachoidiformes; Batrachoididae. The transcript is spliced from 3 exons.